Molecule: ribosomal RNA, 381 nt
Filed under: uncultured bacterium
Lineage: Bacteria
Description: bacterial SSU rRNA
Rfam family: Bacterial small subunit ribosomal RNA
Source: RNAcentral
UAGGGAAUCUUGGACAAUGGGGGAAACCCUGAUCCAGCCAUGCCGCGUGAGUGAAGAAGGCCUUAGGGUCGUAAAACUCUUUCGCCAGGGAAGAUAAUGACGGUACCUGGUAAAGAAACCCCGGCUAACUCUGUGCCAGCAGCCGCGGUAAUACGGAGGGGGUUAGCGUUGUUCGGAAUUACUGGGCGUAAAGCGCACGUAGGCGGGCUGAAAAGUUGGGGUGAAAUCCCGGGCUCAACCCCGGAACUGCCUUCAAAACUGACAGCCUAGAGUUCGAGAGAGGUGAGUGGAAUUCCGAGUGUAGAGGUGAAAUUCGUAGAUAUUCGGAGGAACACCAGUGGCGAAGGCGGCUCACUGGCUCGAUACUGACGCUGAGGUGCG